Molecule: ribosomal RNA, 410 nt
Filed under: uncultured microorganism
Description: bacterial SSU rRNA
Rfam family: Bacterial small subunit ribosomal RNA
Source: RNAcentral
CAGCAGCCGCGGUAAUACGUAGGGGGCGAGCGUUGUCCGGAAUUACUGGGCGUAAAGGGCGUGUAGGCGGCCUGUUAAGUCAGGGGUGAAAGACCGGGGCUCAACCCCGGGGGUGCCUCUGAAACUGGCGGGCUUGAGUGCUCUAGAGGGCAGUGGAAUUCCCGGUGUAGCAGUGAAAUGCGUAGAGAUCGGGAGGAACACCAGUGGCGAACGCGGCUGCCUGGGGAGUCACUGACGCUGAGGCGCGAAAGCUAGGGGAGCAAACAGGAUUAGAUACCCUGGUAGUCCUAGCCGUAAACGAUGAGCGCUAUGUGUGAGGGGUAUCGACCCCCCUCGUGCAGUAGCUAACGCAUUAAGCGCUCCGCCUGGGGAGUACGGCCGCAAGGUUGAAACUUAAAGGAAUUGGCGGG